GGUUAAGCGACUAAGCGUACACGGUGGAUGCCCUGGCAGUCAGAGGCGAUGAAGGACGUGCUAAUCUGCGAUAAGCGUCGGUAAGGUGAUAUGAACCGUUAUAACCGGCGAUUUCCGAAUGGGGAAACCCAGUGUGUUUCGACACACUAUCAUUAACUGAAUCCAUAGGUUAAUGAGGCGAACCGGGGGAACUGAAACAUCUAAGUACCCCGAGGAAAAGAAAUCAACCGAGAUUCCCCCAGUAGCGGCGAGCGAACGGGGAGCAGCCCAGAGCCUGAAUCAGUGUGUGUGUUAGUGGAAGCGUCUGGAAAGGCGCGCGAUACAGGGUGACAGCCCCGUACACAAAAAUGCACAUACUGUGAGCUCGAUGAGUAGGGCGGGACACGUGGUAUCCUGUCUGAAUAUGGGGGGACCAUCCUCCAAGGCUAAAUACUCCUGACUGACCGAUAGUGAACCAGUACCGUGAGGGAAAGGCGAAAAGAACCCCGGCGAGGGGAGUGAAAAAGAACCUGAAACCGUGUACGUACAAGCAGUGGGAGCCUCUUUAUGGGGUGACUGCGUACCUUUUGUAUAAUGGGUCAGCGACUUAUAUUCUGUAGCAAGGUUAACCGAAUAGGGGAGCCGAAGGGAAACCGAGUCUUAACUGGGCGUUAAGUUGCAGGGUAUAGACCCGAAACCCGGUGAUCUAGCCAUGGGCAGGUUGAAGGUUGGGUAACACUAACUGGAGGACCGAACCGACUAAUGUUGAAAAAUUAGCGGAUGACUUGUGGCUGGGGGUGAAAGGCCAAUCAAACCGGGAGAUAGCUGGUUCUCCCCGAAAGCUAUUUAGGUAGCGCCUCGUGAAUUCAUCUCCGGGGGUAGAGCACUGUUUCGGCAAGGGGGUCAUCCCGACUUACCAACCCGAUGCAAACUGCGAAUACCGGAGAAUGUUAUCACGGGAGACACACGGCGGGUGCUAACGUCCGUCGUGAAGAGGGAAACAACCCAGACCGCCAGCUAAGGUCCCAAAGUCAUGGUUAAGUGGGAAACGAUGUGGGAAGGCCCAGACAGCCAGGAUGUUGGCUUAGAAGCAGCCAUCAUUUAAAGAAAGCGUAAUAGCUCACUGGUCGAGUCGGCCUGCGCGGAAGAUGUAACGGGGCUAAACCAUGCACCGAAGCUGCGGCAGCGACGCUUAUGCGUUGUUGGGUAGGGGAGCGUUCUGUAAGCCUGCGAAGGUGUACUGUGAGGUAUGCUGGAGGUAUCAGAAGUGCGAAUGCUGACAUAAGUAACGAUAAAGCGGGUGAAAAGCCCGCUCGCCGGAAGACCAAGGGUUCCUGUCCAACGUUAAUCGGGGCAGGGUGAGUCGACCCCUAAGGCGAGGCCGAAAGGCGUAGUCGAUGGGAAACAGGUUAAUAUUCCUGUACUUGGUGUUACUGCGAAGGGGGGACGGAGAAGGCUAUGUUGGCCGGGCGACGGUUGUCCCGGUUUAAGCGUGUAGGCUGGUUUUCCAGGCAAAUCCGGAAAAUCAAGGCUGAGGCGUGAUGACGAGGCACUACGGUGCUGAAGCAACAAAUGCCCUGCUUCCAGGAAAAGCCUCUAAGCAUCAGGUAACAUCAAAUCGUACCCCAAACCGACACAGGUGGUCAGGUAGAGAAUACCAAGGCGCUUGAGAGAACUCGGGUGAAGGAACUAGGCAAAAUGGUGCCGUAACUUCGGGAGAAGGCACGCUGAUAUGUAGGUGAAGUCCCUCGCGGAUGGAGCUGAAAUCAGUCGAAGAUACCAGCUGGCUGCAACUGUUUAUUAAAAACACAGCACUGUGCAAACACGAAAGUGGACGUAUACGGUGUGACGCCUGCCCGGUGCCGGAAGGUUAAUUGAUGGGGUUAGCGGUAACGCGAAGCUCUUGAUCGAAGCCCCGGUAAACGGCGGCCGUAACUAUAACGGUCCUAAGGUAGCGAAAUUCCUUGUCGGGUAAGUUCCGACCUGCACGAAUGGCGUAAUGAUGGCCAGGCUGUCUCCACCCGAGACUCAGUGAAAUUGAACUCGCUGUGAAGAUGCAGUGUACCCGCGGCAAGACGGAAAGACCCCGUGAACCUUUACUAUAGCUUGACACUGAACAUUGAGCCUUGAUGUGUAGGAUAGGUGGGAGGCUUUGAAGUGUGGACGCCAGUCUGCAUGGAGCCGACCUUGAAAUACCACCCUUUAAUGUUUGAUGUUCUAACGUUGGCCCCUGAUCGGGGUUGCGGACAGUGUCUGGUGGGUAGUUUGACUGGGGCGGUCUCCUCCUAAAGAGUAACGGAGGAGCACGAAGGUUGGCUAAUCCUGGUCGGACAUCAGGAGGUUAGUGCAAUGGCAUAAGCCAGCUUGACUGCGAGCGUGACGGCGCGAGCAGGUGCGAAAGCAGGUCAUAGUGAUCCGGUGGUUCUGAAUGGAAGGGCCAUCGCUCAACGGAUAAAAGGUACUCCGGGGAUAACAGGCUGAUACCGCCCAAGAGUUCAUAUCGACGGCGGUGUUUGGCACCUCGAUGUCGGCUCAUCACAUCCUGGGGCUGAAGUAGGUCCCAAGGGUAUGGCUGUUCGCCAUUUAAAGUGGUACGCGAGCUGGGUUUAGAACGUCGUGAGACAGUUCGGUCCCUAUCUGCCGUGGGCGCUGGAGAACUGAGGGGGGCUGCUCCUAGUACGAGAGGACCGGAGUGGACGCAUCACUGGUGUUCGGGUUGUCAUGCCAAUGGCACUGCCCGGUAGCUAAAUGCGGAAGAGAUAAGUGCUGAAAGCAUCUAAGCACGAAACUUGCCCCGAGAUGAGUUCUCCCUGACUCCUUGAGAGUCCUGAAGGAACGUUGAAGACGACGACGUUGAUAGGCCGGGUGUGUAAGCGCAGCGAUGCGUUGAGCUAACCGGUACUAAUGAACCGUGAGGCUUAACCUU
RNAcentral lists this ribosomal RNA (2905 nucleotides) under Escherichia coli. RNAcentral describes it as "23S ribosomal RNA". It matches the Rfam family "Bacterial large subunit ribosomal RNA". The record is from RNAcentral. Lineage: Bacteria; Pseudomonadati; Pseudomonadota; Gammaproteobacteria; Enterobacterales; Enterobacteriaceae.